UUCGCAAUGCCCGAAAGGGUGACGAAGCGACGCCGCGUGUGGGAAGAAGGCCUUCGGGUUGUAAACCACUGUCGGGAGUUAAGAAAUGCAAGGAUAUGAAUAGUGUCUUUGCUUGACUAAGGCUCCGGAGGAAGCCACGGCUAACUCUGUGCCAGCAGCCGCGGUAAUACAGAGGCGGCAAGCGUUGUUCGGAGUUAUUGGGCGUAAAGAGCACGUAGGCGGCUCUGCAAGUCAGCUGUGAAAGCCUUCUGCUUAACGGAAGAACAGCAGUUGAAACUACAGGGCUUGAGUGCGGGAGGGAAGAGUGGAACUUCUGGUGGAGCGGUGAAAUGCGUAGAUAUCAGAAGGAACGCCGGCGGCGAAAGCGGCUCUCUGGCCCAUAACUGACGCUGAGUGUGCGAAAGCUAGGGGAGCAAACGGGAUUAGAUACCCCGGUAGUCCUAGCCGUAAACGAUGGGCACUAAGUAGAGGGGUUUU
RNAcentral lists this ribosomal RNA (477 nucleotides) under uncultured bacterium. RNAcentral describes it as "bacterial SSU rRNA". It matches the Rfam family "Bacterial small subunit ribosomal RNA", at positions 365 to 832 of the family's 1533-position model. The record is from RNAcentral.